AUUGAACGCUGGCGGAAUGCUCUACACAUGCAAGUCGAACGGCAGCACGGACUUCGGUCUGGUGGCGAGUGGCGAACGGGUGAGUAAUACAUCGGAACGUGCCCAAUCGUGGGGGAUAACGUAGCGAAAGCUACGCUAAUACCGCAUACGAUCUAAGGAUGAAAGCGGGGGAUCGCAAGACCUCGCGCGAUUGGAGCGGCCGAUGGCAGAUUAGGUAGUUGGUAGGGUAAAGGCCUACCAAGCCGACGAUCUGUAACUGGUCUGAGAGGAUGAUCAGCCACACUGGGACUGAGACACGGCCCAGACUCCUACGGGAGGCAGCAGUGGGGAAUUUUGGACAAUGGACGCAAGUCUGAUCCAGCCAUUCCGCGUGCAGGAUGAAGGCCCUCGGGUUGUAAACUGCUUUUGUACAGAACGAAAAGGCUCUGGUUAAUACCUAGUGCUCAUGACGGUACUGUAAGAAUAAGCACCGGCUAACUACGUGCCAGCAGCCGCCGUAA
RNAcentral lists this ribosomal RNA (500 nucleotides) under uncultured bacterium. Its description in RNAcentral is "partial 16S ribosomal RNA". It matches the Rfam family "Bacterial small subunit ribosomal RNA", at positions 30 to 523 of the family's 1533-position model. The record is from RNAcentral.